This 254-nucleotide ribosomal RNA is filed under the name uncultured bacterium. Its description in RNAcentral is "partial 16S ribosomal RNA". It matches the Rfam family "Bacterial small subunit ribosomal RNA", at positions 524 to 776 of the family's 1533-position model. The record is from RNAcentral.
UACGGGGGGGGCAAGCGUUGUCCGGAAUCAUUGGGCGUAAAGGGCGCGUAGGUGGCCCGGUCAGUUCGUGGUGAAAGCGCGGGGCUCAACCCUGCGUCGGCCAUGAAUACUGCCGCGGCUGGAGCACUGUAGAGGCAGGCGGAAUUCCGGGUGUAGCGGUGGAAUGCGUAGAGAUCCGGAAGAACACCGGUGGCGAAGGCGGCCUGCUGGGCAGUUGCUGACACUGAGGCGCGACAGCGUGGGGAGCAAACAGG